This 181-nucleotide non-coding RNA is filed under the name Sporolactobacillus laevolacticus. RNAcentral's name for it is "Lysine sequence". It matches the Rfam family "Lysine riboswitch aptamer". Rfam says of the family: Riboswitches are metabolite binding domains within certain messenger RNAs that serve as precision sensors for their corresponding targets. Allosteric rearrangement of mRNA structure is mediated by ligand binding, and this results in modulation of gene expression. Lineage: Bacteria; Bacillati; Bacillota; Bacilli; Caryophanales; Sporolactobacillaceae. The record is from RNAcentral. RNAcentral also lists the same sequence under 1 other name.
UGAAGUGAUAGAGGAGCAGUCUUCAUAAGUAGGCCGCGCGAGAAGGAUGAGAUUCAUUGACCGCGGCGGAAAGGGAAUCCUGCCGAAGUCGGAAUCGGUUCAUCUCGUUUCCGGGCUGGACCUGCAUUGAACAAAUGCAGGGCUGUCACACUUGCAAAAAGUGUGGAGAACUAUCUCAGCA